This 20-nucleotide microRNA is filed under the name Ciona intestinalis (vase tunicate). Its description in RNAcentral is "cin-miR-124-2-5p". Its record names the gene cin-miR-124-2-5p. Lineage: Eukaryota; Metazoa; Chordata; Ascidiacea; Phlebobranchia; Cionidae. The record is from miRBase by way of RNAcentral.
CGUGUUUACUGUGGACCUUG